This 1161-nucleotide unclassified non-coding RNA is filed under the name Rhagoletis pomonella (apple maggot). RNAcentral's name for it is "probable Ufm1-specific protease 1, transcript variant X4". The record is from RNAcentral. Lineage: Eukaryota; Metazoa; Arthropoda; Insecta; Diptera; Tephritidae.
AUGAGCCGUGUAGAAAACUUCGAUAGUGGCGGCAAAAUUAAAUCAUAGAUACUAUCGAGAUAGCCCCAUCGAUAGUUUUCCAUAGUUACCAACAACAAGAAAACCCAAAGCAGCAAGAAGCAAAAUACGAAUCUGCGUCGGAGGAGGUGCAGAAAAUCCAAGGCAUAGAAAAUCUAGAUUUUAUUUAAUUUUUAGCUUUUGGUUGCGAAGUGGCGCGUUUGUUUACAAAGAAAAUUAUUACUGGGAGAUAUAUGGUCUCUUUUUUUAGUGACAAAGACAACGUAUGAUGUAGCCGCGGCAGCUAGGUAAACUUCUUAGCACGGAGACACUGUUGAAGAAGCUAAAAAAUAGAAAUCGAGUGGGCGAUUUAUAGCGAAUAUUGAGUAUACAAGCAAAAUAAAGUAAAAAAUGGAAGAAGGCGCCCCACAAAACAAUCAACUGUCACGCAAGUGUUACCCAUAUCCACUCCUUCACAACGUGCACAAAUAUUUGCCACCACCGUCAGUAACUUGCACUUUAGGAUACAGUUGCGAAACUUUGUAUACAGAAGGAGAUUUUGUAUAUUUUCACUACGGUUGCGACGGUUUCAAUGACAAUGGCUGGGGUUGUGCCUAUCGCACGCUGCAGUCCAUCUGUUCCUGGAUCGUAGGCAAACGCAGCGCCAACGAGUCUAAUACAGCGGUGCCAUCGAUUAAAGAGAUACAACAAACUCUGGUGCAGAUUGGUGAUAAAUCCAGUGAGUUUGUGGGCUCACGUGAUUGGAUUGGCGCAAUCGAAGUAUUCUAUGUUUUGGAUAUGCUGUACGAUGUUGUAUGCAAAAUCAUUCAUAUUGCACACCAUGACGAUUUGAAGAAGUACGCCAAUGUACUGAAGAAAUAUUUUGAAGAAUUUGGAGGACUUGUUAUGAUGGGUGGCGACAUGGACGCUGCAUCUAAAGGACUUGCAGGCAUUCAUAUUAGCGGAAAUCAAGUUUAUCUUCUGGUCAUUGUAAGAUCCCCACUUUGUCGGCAUUCCUGAAUCUGUGCAAGAGCUAGUUGAUCGCGGCUACAUACGUUGGCAACACACUUCGGACACGUAUGCAUAUCGGGCCCAGCUGUUGUAACCAUUGAUAACGAAAAGAACGAGAGAAUUUUAAGAAAUGACUGCGAUAAGCACUAGCAG